Molecule: ribosomal RNA, 239 nt
Filed under: uncultured bacterium
Lineage: Bacteria
Description: partial 16S ribosomal RNA
Rfam family: Bacterial small subunit ribosomal RNA
Source: RNAcentral
GAUCAUGGCUCAGGACGAACGCUGGCGGCGCGCCUAACACAUGCAAGUCGAACGAGAGAGAAGGAGCUUGCUUCUUCGAUCGAGUGGCGAACGGGUGAGUAACGCGUGAGGAACCUGCCUCAAAGAGGGGACGAACAGUUGGAACGACUGCUAAUACCGCAUAAGCCCGACGGGUCGGCAUCGAUCUGAGGGAAAAGGAGCGAUCCGCUUUGAGAUGGCCUCGCGUCCGAUUAGCUAGG